Molecule: ribosomal RNA, 468 nt
Filed under: uncultured bacterium
Lineage: Bacteria
Description: bacterial SSU rRNA
Rfam family: Bacterial small subunit ribosomal RNA
Source: RNAcentral
AUUGAACGCUGGCGGCGUGCUUAACACAUGCAAGUCGAUCGGUAACAGGUGUAGCAAUACAUGCUGACGAGAGGCGGACGGGUGAGUAAUGCUUGGGAAUCUGCCUAUUAGUGGGGGACAACCCGGGGAAACUCGGGCUAAUACCGCAUACGCUCUACGGAGGAAAGCCGGGGACCGCAAGGCCUGGCGCUAAUAGAUGAGCCCAAGUCGGAUUAGCUAGUUGGUAGGGUAACGGCCUACCAAGGCGACAAUCCGUAGCUGGUCUGAGAGGACGACCAGCCACACCGGAACUGAGACACGGUCCGGACUCCUACGGGAGGCAGCAGUGGGGAAUAUUGGACAAUGGGGCAACCCUGAUCCAGCGACGCCGCGUGGGUGAAGAAGGCCUGCGGGUUGUAAAGCCCUUUCGGUGAGGAAGAAAAGUCUCGACCUAAUACGUCGGGACCUUGACGUAACCCACUAAAGAAG